CCUACGGGAGGCAGCAGUGGGGAAUAUUGCACAAUGGAGGGAACUCUGAUGCAGCGACGCCGCGUGAGGGAAGAAGGUUUUCGGAUUGUAAACCUCUGUCUUCGGUGACGAAACGAGACGGUAGCCGAGGAGGAAGCCACGGCUAACUACGUGCCAGCAGCCGCGGUAAUCCGUAGGUGGAAAGCGUUGUCCGGAAUUACUGGGUGUAAAGGGAACGUAGGCGGGAGGGCAAGUUGAAGGGUUAAGGUACGGGCUCACCCUGUGACAGCGUUCAAAACUGUUUUUCUUGAGUGGAGUAGAGGUAAGCGGAAUUCCUAGUGUAGCGGUGAAAUGCGUAAAUAUUAGGAGGAACACCAGUGGCGAAGGCGGCUUACUGGGCGGUAACUGACGCUGAGGCUCGAAAGCGUGGGGAGCAAACAGGAUUAGAUACCCCUGUAGUC
This 440-nucleotide ribosomal RNA is filed under the name uncultured bacterium. RNAcentral describes it as "partial 16S ribosomal RNA". It matches the Rfam family "Bacterial small subunit ribosomal RNA", at positions 338 to 795 of the family's 1533-position model. The record is from RNAcentral.